RNAcentral lists this ribosomal RNA (2922 nucleotides) under Triticum aestivum (bread wheat). RNAcentral describes it as "partial small subunit ribosomal RNA". Lineage: Eukaryota; Viridiplantae; Streptophyta; Magnoliopsida; Poales; Poaceae. The record is from RNAcentral.
AUGCACCAUUUUGAGUUGGUCAUAUGGGUUUGUGUCUCUGACAAGUUCAUCAUCGAAGAAAUAAUACGGUCUAUAAUACAAGUGGCAUCGAAGGAGAAAUCUAAAUUUACCAAUAUAGAGGCACUGCGGAAGGAACUUACUGAAGUGUUGGGUAAUAAAAGGUACCUCCUAGUGUUGGAUGAUGUUUGGAAGGAGGACAGACAAAAGUGGGAUGAUAUGAUAUCAUUGGUAUGCUCACAUGCUGGCUCGGGUAGUGCUAUAAUUGUGACAAGCCGCAGCAAUCAAGUUGCUUCUAUCACGGGCACACUUCCUCCACAUCACAUAUCACUUCUAGAUGAAGAUCAAUCAUGGGAGCUUUUUCAUAGAAACACAUUUGGAAGGGGAGUGGAAAAGCAAGAGGAAUUGAUUUUAGUGGCUAAGAAUAUUGUGAACAAGUGUAAGGGAUUACCUCUUGCUAUCAAGACCAUAGCAGCUUUACUUCAUUCAAAGCAUCACAGUCAAUGGUUUUCUGUUCUGGAUAGUGAUGUCUGGAAGGAUGAUAUCCUCACAACUACCGGAAUUGUACCUGCAUUACAGCUGAGCUAUGAUCACUUGUCAUCGGAAGAAAAAAUAUGUUUUUCUUUAUGUGCUAUUUUCCCCAAGGAUAGCUUGAUGGAUAAAGACAUGUUAAUUCAUUUGUGGAUGGCAAAUGAAUUUAUUGCGUCAGAAACAAGAGGCCAACAAAUUUUUGAUGUGCUAGUUUGGAGAUGUUUCCUCCAAGAUUUGAAUAUUCAAAAGACUUUGCUCUCUAGUUUUGAUGAGUUCAUCCACAGACCAACCACUUGCAAGAUGCAUGAUCUCAUGCAUGAUCUUGCUGACUUGGUAAGCGGAAAUGAUUGCUCCAUUGUGCAAAUAGAUCAAAUACUUCUGCAGCGAUGCCGAUAUGCUAGUCCAUUAGAGCUUGAGGCUCGACAUUUGUCACUCGAUAUUGAUGGUCCAUUAGAAAUUCUAGCUCCUCGACCCCGCACGAUAUUAGUCCAAAUGAAAUCAGGACUGAGUCAUCGAAGUAGGGCCAAGUCAAAAUUCUUCUCUUUACGAGCAUUGAGGACAUUCCAAACAAUGACACAUAUGACAAACCUGAAGCAUCUUCGCUAUCUAGAUUGUUCUUAUUCUGAUGUAUCAUCAUUGCCUGAAGCCACUUCUAUGUUGUAUAGCUUGCAAACACUGAAGCUCAUCGGUUGUAACAAUCUCAAUAAAUUACCAGAAGGCAUGAGAUAUAUGAGCAGUCUUCGGCACAUCUUCCUCGUUGGGUGUCGUUGUUUGGAGCGCAUGCCAAAAAGUAUUGGUCAGCUAAAUUCUCUACAAACACUGACGAAUUAUGUCAUUGGGAGUGAUGGAGGUCGUGGAAUUGAUCAACUGAAAGAUUUGAAUCUAGGUGGUGCUCUUUCUUUGACUGAGCUAAGAAGAGUUCAUAGUGCCGAAAAUGCUAAACAAAGCAAUAUGUCUGGCAAACAUAAUUUGAAACGAUUAUCACUUGAUUGGGCACAUGGAACUUCUUAUGGCACACAUGUUGGAUAUGAAGUACAUACUGAUGCAGAAGGAAUAUUAAAAGCUCUUUGUCCCGCCAAAAGGCUUGAAGUAUUAGUGUUAUCUAAUUAUACGGGUGCUAAAUUCUCGUCAUGGAUGCACAACUCUACACUGUUAGAACAUCUUAGUGAACUUUCUCUGACUGGAUGCAAGAACUGCAAGGAUCUUCCACCAUUAUGGCAGCUGCCCUCCCUCGAAUACUUGAGUUUGAAAGGUUUGCAUAGCUUGGCAAGUAUAUGUGUUGGUAAUGAUGAUAUAGACAAUGGGGAAUCCUUUAUUUCUCCACCACCCUUCUUUCCUAAAUUGGAAACCAUGAUAGUUGCUAACAUGCCCAAGCUACAGAGAUGGCACCAGGAAGAGGCAGGACAAGUAGCGGUCGUACUGUUCCCUCGGCUCAAGAAGCUAAACAUUUCCGUGUGCCCAAUGCUAGCAAGCAUGCCCAAGAUGCUCCCAUUGCUUGAAGAUCUACUAGUGAUAGAUGCAAGACACAUCCCCCUUUACCAUCUGAUGGGUCUGUUUGUGCAGUUUAAUCUUGAAUGCAAAGCCAACAUCUCAGUGGAACCUAGAGUUGGCUGGCUGCCUAUUGGUGACUUUCAUUUGUUGAGGCUUGGUGAUUCUUAUAUGAGACUGAGGCUCAAGGGUUUGAUGGACAAUGUAGGGCGUUUUGAAGAGGAAUUGUACAGAAUGCCUUGCAGAUUUAUUAAAGAUCUGGAUAUAACAGAUUGCGGCUGUCUUUUUUCACCUGAACCAUCCCAAAUACAACAAAAUAUAUGGAAUCAUUUUGGUUUUGUUGAAAGUAUGCGAAUUACAGCCUGCAAUAAUAUAGUGCAAUGGCCAGUAGUUGAAAUCAGAAACUUGAACCUUCUUCGACUUCUACACUUAUCUUUUUGUUCCAACUUAACUGGUUCACUUCCAUCAACAAUAUCCGAUGAUGAAAAUGUCAUACCUCCUCAGCUCCAGCAUCUAGAAAUUGAAUUCUGUCUAAGUUUGGUUGAGGUACCAAAACUGCCUGCAUCUCUCGAAAAAUUGAGCAUUGAUUUUUGUCCCAAGCUGGGGUCCAUGCCAACAAUUCUUGGGAACGUCAAAAACCUGAGAGAUCUCAGGUUGUCAGAUUGCAACGCCUUGACGACAUUUUCUGAUGGAAUGUACGGAGUCACUGCACUCAGGACGUUGGUGAUGGAGUGGUGCCCAAUGAUAGAGACACUACCGGAGGGACUCCUGCAGCAACUCCCAGCCCUGGAGGAACUACAUAUCAGAGACUGCCCCAACUUGGAGGAGGACUUGUUAAGCCGAGGCGCUGACUGGAAUUUGGUUGAAGCAAUUCCAAAUAGAUCAGUUGGCAGAUCCAUGCCCUGA